This 1234-nucleotide long non-coding RNA is filed under the name Oryctolagus cuniculus (rabbit). RNAcentral's name for it is "lncRNA (ENSOCUG00000039463.1)". Lineage: Eukaryota; Metazoa; Chordata; Mammalia; Lagomorpha; Leporidae. The record is from RNAcentral.
UGGCGGAGCCUGAGUGAGACCCAGUGCCUCCGGGGUCAGGCCUGAAUCAGAGACACUGCAGCCCGGGACAGCCACAUCAGUUACCUUGCCCUUCUGGAAAUGUGUAGGCGCGGUCCUCUUCUUGGGCAGUCUGGAAGUCUACCCCUCGGGCCUCGGCUCCUGUUCCAGAGGAGCAGAAACGCUCUUUGACUGCACACAAGGACUAGACAGCAGAAGCUUAGAGAAACCCCAGGAAUCCCUUUGUGCUCUGUUCCAGCCUGUCCAAGGUUCUGACACCUCAUGGUACAUCUCCUGCUCAGCCAUCCUCAGAUGGAAGUCUGCUCCUCAUCUGUUCCUGCCCAAAAGCCUGUUCAAGUCUUGAGGAGCCGUCCUCGAUGCUGCUGGCGGAGCCUGAGUGAGACCCAGUGCCUCCGGGGUCAGGCCUGAAUCAGAGACACUGCAGCCCGGGACAGCCGCAUCAGUUACCUUGCCCUUCUGGAAAUGUGUAGGCGCGGUCCUCUUCUUGGGCAGUCUGGAAGUCUACCCCUCGGGCCUCGGCUCCUGUUCCAGAGGAGCAGAAACGCUCUUUGGUGAGUUGGGCGCGAUGGCCUUGCUGUCGUCACGGGGUAGGUGGGGCCUGGGGUGCAGAUAGCAGGCAAGGGGUGUGCAUGUGAGGGGUGGAGGGGAGAGGAGGAGGAGAGAGGCGGCCAAGGGAGAUUCGGGAGGAGAGAGGAAGGGGGGAGAAGGAAAAGGUGGCGUGAAGGUGGGGUGGCGUGGAAGGAAGGGGAAGGAAGGCGUGUGGGGCAGCGUCGAGGGAGGGCGAGUGUGACAGGAGUGCUGGUGGGCGGGUGGAGGCGGGGGUUGGGAGAGGAAGAACUUUUCCCACGGCCCGGGUUCCAUUUUGGAGGUUUCCUGGCCCUGGCUGGAAUCAGUCUUGGCCACGUCCGUGAGAAGCGGCCUUGACUCCCGGCCUCUCUUCUCUGGGUGGUUCUGAACUGUAAUGUGUGUGCGGGAAAACUGGCCUGGGGCACUCGAAUUAACUUGCACGUAAUCCGGUGAAUUUUCACAGACUGCACACAAGGACUAGACAGCAGAAGCUUAGAGAAACCCCAGGAAUCCCUUUGUGCUCUGUUCCAGCCUGUCCAAGGUUCUGACACCUCAUGGUAAGUACUGGAUUGUUUUUUCUUUUUAAAGACUGGUGUGAAAGGCAGAGUUACUGAUGAGGCAGUGGUGGAGAGAGAGUCAGUGUAUGGGU